AGCAGCCGCGGUAAUUCCAGCUCCAAUAGCGUAUAUUAAAGUUGUUGCAGUUAAAAAGCUCGUAGUUGAAUUUCGGGGUUAGUAGGUUGGUCAUGCCUCUGGUAUGUACUGGUUUCACUGAUUCCUCCUUCCUGAUGAGCCGUAAUGCCAUUAAUUUGGUGUUGCGGGGAAUUUGGACUGUUACUUUGAAAAAAUUAGAGUGUUUAAAGCAAGCUAACGCUUGAAUACAUUAGCAUGGAAUAAUGAAAUAGGACGUUCGAUCCUAUUUUGUUGGUUUCUAGGAUUGACGUAAUGAUUAAUAGGGAUAGUUGGGGGCAUUAGUAUUCAAUUGUCAGAGGUGAAAUUCUUGGAUUUAUUGAAGACUAACUACUGCGAAAGCAUUUGCCAAGGAUGUUUUCAUUAAUCAAGAACGAAAGUUAGGGGAUCGAAGACGAUCAGAUACCGUCGUAGUCCUAACCAUAAACUAUGCCGACUAGGGAUCGGAUGAUGUUAAUUUUUUAAUGACUCA
Molecule: ribosomal RNA, 508 nt
Filed under: uncultured Glomus
Lineage: Eukaryota; Fungi; Glomeromycota; Glomeromycetes; Glomerales; Glomeraceae
Description: SSU rRNA
Rfam family: Eukaryotic small subunit ribosomal RNA
Source: RNAcentral